Molecule: ribosomal RNA, 774 nt
Filed under: uncultured bacterium
Lineage: Bacteria
Description: bacterial SSU rRNA
Rfam family: Bacterial small subunit ribosomal RNA
Source: RNAcentral
AGAGUUUGAUCAUGGCUCAGGACGAACGCUGGCGGCGUGCCUAACACAUGCAAGUCGAACGAGGUCCAUGAGAGCUUGCUCUCGGAAGACCUAGUGGCGAACGGGUGAGUAACACGUGAGGAAUCUGCCCCGGACUCUGGGAUAACUCGAGGAAACUCGAGCUAAUACCGGAUACCCUCCUCGGGUCGCAUGGCCUGAUGAGGAAAGUUUUUCGGUCUGGGAGGACCUCGCGGCCUAUCAGCUAGUUGGUGAGGUAACGGCUCACCAAGGCUACGACGGGUAGCUGGUUUGAGAGAAUGAUCAGCCACACUGGGACUGAGACACGGCCCAGACUCCUACGGGAGGCAGCAGUGGGGAAUCUUGCGCAAUGGGCGAAAGCCUGACGCAGCAACGCCGCGUGCGGGAUGACGGCCUUCGGGUUGUAAACCGCUUUCAGCAGGGACGAAAAUGACGGUACCUGCAGAAGAAGCUCCGGCUAACUACGUGCCAGCAGCCGCGGUAAUACGUAGGGGGCAAGCGUUGUCCGGAUUUAUUGGGCGUAAAGAGCUCGUAGGCGGUUCCGUAAGUCAGGUGUGAAAAAUCUGGGCUCAACCCAGUGGAGCACCUGAUACUGCGGUGACUCGAGUCCGGUAGGGGAGUGUGGAAUUCCUGGUGUAGCGGUGAAAUGCGCGAUAUCAGGAGGAACACCGACGGCGAAGGCAGCACUCUGGGCCGGUACUGACGCUGAGGAGCGAAAGCAUGGGGAGCGAACAGGAUUAGAUACCCUAGUAGUCC